Oryza brachyantha (malo sina) is the source of this 1540-nucleotide long non-coding RNA. RefSeq lists it as uncharacterized. The record is from RefSeq and is a predicted model, not a curated record. Lineage: Eukaryota; Viridiplantae; Streptophyta; Magnoliopsida; Poales; Poaceae. The transcript is spliced from 3 exons.
UUUAUGGAAAGCAAUGUCUACUCCCAACGCUUUAAAUGUCUUACGCAAAUCUAAUUGGCCAAUACUGUAAAUGGUUUGAAGGAAAAGGCAGUGAUGACAGGUGUGUCUUUGUUUCUUUUUUUUGCCUUCUCACUCUCUGCUGAGUCCUGACUGCUUUGUUACUCUGUGACAACAUUUUAGUGACUCAAAUAAAGCUAGUUCAAUCUCUUAUGUUGCACUACUGUGCGUAAAGAUUACCUUUGACCUUCUCCUUGAAUUAUGCCAUAGGUGAUUCCUUUUCUCUGAUGUCUGUUGCGUUGUUGCGUGGUUUGGAGGGGUAUUCCAUCAGUUUCAUUGUAUCAAUUCCUAUAUUCACACAUUCUCAUUGGAUUAUUUUCUGAAAGGACAUCAUGAACAAUUUGAGGACAAUCUCCAAUAGAUGGAGAAAGCACGCACAGAUGGUGUUUUGCUUGUGCACAGAUCUAUAGGUUGAUAGUGUAGCACAAUAUUUUCAUGGGCCUUUUCAACGCCAUUUAAAUGUCGAGCAGCACACUAACCAUUAUUUUGCCAGCUGAAGCUUGGUUUGAGUUAAGAGCAGGCCACAGCCAUUCUCACUGCAUUAUUGCCCCGUGACCUGGGCUGUACUGUUUUCUUGUGGAUCCACUUUGUGCAUUCAAAUCCUUUGCCCUGGAGUCUCAACCGCACAUGGAUCUCAACAAUCUUCUGUUUUGUGUAGAAGCCUGCUGUGUUCGUGAGGCUCACAUUGAAUUAUUGAUUUCUUCUACCGCCAAAAUACGUACACCAGUGUGCAGUGCCUGUUUAAAUGCACGCAGCCGGAUGUGGUUGAUGCAGUCUGUAUUCAGUACUCUGGAGUACCCAGUUUGCCGUGUGGCUAAUGUCUCGCUGGAGAUUGGUUAGAUGAUCCUCUGCUCUCCUUUGUGUGAACUGCCAGCAAGUGACCUGCUAUGCCUAUGAAGAAGAAGAGAGGGUGAUGAAGAUGCACGUCCUGUUUGCAUCUCCAUGCCCCCAUGCGUCUGUACAGUUCUGCUUCAAUGCUGCCCACAGAUGAUGGAUGAGGUGAUCUCAACGGUAACUGAUGGUGGUAGCUAGCUCGAAGCUGCAAAUGCAACCUGGGGAUUGCAACGAAAAGAAUGGGCGAUGGACCAGAGACAAAGACAGUGACAUUCGCGUGCAACGUACUCCUGCUACCUCGUUCAUCACUUCUCCCUCCAAAGACGAACUGACGGACCAUUACCCUUUGGAAAUCAGCUGGAGUAAAACCAGAAGGUUCAGAAUUUUACUUGGGCAAAUGUUUGUUUGGAGAGAAAUAUCACGGAGACUUCGUACACGAAAACAAAAUUCGCCUUGUAAGGGACGGCACUACUACAGUCGACGACAAACCCGUCGUGGCACCAUCUCCGAUCGGCCAUUUCUGAAUUCAAAAAACACACGCACACAUCCAUGCGGAGCACUCCCUAUAGAACUCCGAGUAAAACAGUUGAUAGUAGUAUCAUCAGUCACAACUCAGCCGGAAUAACAGCAAGCCUGAAUUCAAAAAAAA